RNAcentral lists this small nuclear RNA (23 nucleotides) under Arabidopsis thaliana (thale cress). RNAcentral describes it as "snRNA_06728". The record is from RNAcentral. Lineage: Eukaryota; Viridiplantae; Streptophyta; Magnoliopsida; Brassicales; Brassicaceae.
AUUCUGGUAUGAUAACUGGUUUA